RNAcentral lists this long non-coding RNA (2730 nucleotides) under Homo sapiens (human). Its description in RNAcentral is "HSALNT0327941". The record is from RNAcentral. Lineage: Eukaryota; Metazoa; Chordata; Mammalia; Primates; Hominidae.
GGCACAACGGCUGGGAGAGGAAACUUGAUGCUUCUGGGCCACCAUUUGCCAGGGCCUCGCUCGAGGUAAGCACACUGGGGUCCCGCGGAGUCCGUACCUGUCAGGGUCCAGCCCCCGCCCAUAGCCGAGAGAUGGGCACCCUUACCUGGGCUAUUCAAAUAAUGAUCAAAAUGGAACGGGGAUGGGAUGCGGGUGAGGGAGUGCUCCAGCCGGAGGGCCCGGGGCCCAGAGGAUGAUGUGCGCCUGGAAGCUUGGACCCCGGGCUCUUGCCCCUGGGCACCUUGUGCCUCCAGCCAAGGUUCCGAGCGACUGCGUGGGGCUCCAGCUAUCCGAUUUCCCUUCCUAAGUCGCGCGUUCGACAGCUCCCUCCUUUACACACCCGCGUGCAAAUGAGCCGCUGCUCUGUCAUGAAGUGAGAAUGUGAGCCUCUUUCAAACCCUAGAAAAGGAAAGUUUGGUAAGGCGGGGGCUGCGCAGAUCUGCUGUUCUCUGGAACCUAAACUGGGAACCCUAGACUUGCGCAGAAAAUUAAUAGUUUUCCAUUUUUCUUUAAAAAAAUUAACUUCAACGAAAAAUUGUGUGUAUUCAAAAAAAUUAUUGGAUUACCAUGUCUGAUCAGCUGCUGAUGACCUACCAAUAAGCGUUUUAAACACACAUGCACAUUCACGCGUGCGCGCGCGCGCGUACACACACACACGCGCGCAUACACACACACACACACACACACACACACACACACCCCAGGGGCUAUGUGCAGUGAGGAAGGCCGUCAUAAGUAACUAAGAAUUCAGAGGGAGUCGCAAGGGCUUUUAAGUGUGUAAAGGCUGUGUACGUGUCCUCCUUGUUACAGAGAGCAGAGGGAGGGGGCAGAGGGAAUGAGCGUCGGCUCGGCGUUUUCGCUGUGCCUGUGUGUUUCGCGUGUUGUCAGCUGGCUCUGGUUUCUAAGGGCUGAGCGCUGCCAGGGGCGGGGGCCAGCAUCCACCAUCCACCUCGGCACCCUAGUGGUGAAACAGGACUCAUUUGUUUGGUGCAGAGCGGUGACGACCUAGAAGAGACUGGAGUGUGGUUAGGUCGGCCCCCUGCCAUCCAUUACACCUGCGGCAGAUGGCUCAAGUGGUAGAAUGGUUUUGUUUGCCGAGAUCAAGAAAGGAGGAGGGGAAAGCUAGAGCCUCGCCCCACUCAAAAGAAGUACCAUAAAGAGCCAAAGAAAUGAAAGAAGCCAUAUUCGUACCAUCAAAAGCAAGAAUGUUGCUGCCUUCCAGGAGUUAACCUGGACACGUUAGUGACUUUGGUACCUGGCCCGAAUUGAUAACGACUGAAUUUUAGAACCAACAUUUUUCAAAUGUAUUUUUGAUGAAAUGCCUACUUCUCCCUACACACACACACACACACACACACACAACACACACACACCUAUCUCCAGGCAGAUGCACACAGGUGUCCUUGGAGCUCUACUCCCUGAAGCCAAAUGUCAGUAAGAUCCUGCGGAUUUCCAGAUGAAGGAAGCCUCUUGUCUCCCCCCACUUUUUUCAGUCGGCCUGCUAGCUUCCACACACAAGCCCCUCUCGCAAGACAACCACCUGGCUGAAAUUUAGCCAGGUGUCAAAUGUAUCCAUCUCAUUUUCACGUGCAAUAAUGUGCCUUUCUGAUCAAUCUUCACAUCCUUGCAUCCAUUCCUUCCUCCCUGCUACUCAAGAAGCAAGAAAGGAGCACACACAUCCUCCCAGGCAGUCCAGAGGAAAGGCAGGCGUGACAAAGAACACAGACACAGUCUAAUGACAAUUUAGCCUGUCUUCUAUUCCUUGACUUUCUUGUUAAAUAAGAGGAAUGAAAAGAAAAAUAUAUUGAGGGAGACCUAAACAGAAAGCCUUGUAAGCCUUGUCUCCUCCCUUACUUCACACAGUCAUCACGAUAACACCCAUAUACAAAUUACCUUUAUGAAUAUGCUUAUUCACAUUUAAUGUGAAAUAAAAAAUUAUUUUGCUGGCCUAAUUUUCUGUACUGAACAGUAAACAUUCCUUCUACUAGAGUUUAAUACACUAAUGCUUUGGGGAUGACUAGCAUGAAGAGAAAUUCCACAAUUUUUGAAACAGAAAUUCUAUUUUUCUAUCUUCUUUAAUGUCAAAUCAACAUUUUUUAGUUAGUAAAACCAAAGAAUAUCAAACAAUGAGAGUCCUUUCUAGCUAAGAUUUUGGAGUCACAAAUAAAGCUACAUCCUAAAAAGCCAAAAGGAAAGGAAAAAAAAAUCAACCCCUGCAUUUAUCAAGGUGCUUUAAAUACCCAAAGACACCUCUGAACUGGGUUUUGUUGAUGGGUGCUUGUUGUGUGCCCAGUGUAAUUUUUUAAUAAAUAUUUUCCUGUGCUAUGAAUGUUUCCAUUUUUAUAAGGAGAAAGCUGACUUUGAAAUGCAGUGGGAAACAGGAUUUGCCAAGAAAAAAUGCCAGUAGGAUAAAGCCCAAUUUUAUUAUUAAUAAUAUAGGUUUAUUUGUAUAUCAUACAAACUGCUAAGAGUCUCUUCUUCGAUGUGAAUUCCUGUAUUAUCAGGACACAGUCAAAUCCACUUGUAAGAAAAUUUAAAAAGAAAAAAAAUACUUGCAGAACAGAGUUGAAAUACAGGUUUCCUGGGCCUUUUAGUGAUUUCUUUUUAAGAGGGAGAGAGAGGGGGACCUGACCUAAAACUCCUGGCUUUAGAGACACUAAAAGCUUCCAAUUGUAUUUAAAUAAAACAGAA